AAGAUUAAACUGAAGAGUUUGAUCAUGGCUCAGAUUGAACGCUGGCGGCAGGCUUAACACAUGCAAGUCGAACGAAGUUAGGAAGCUUGCUUCUGAUACUUAGUGGCGGACGGGUGAGUAAUGCUUAGGAAUCUGCCUAGUAGUGGGGGAUAACUUGGGGAAACCCAAGCUAAUACCGCAUACGACCUACGGGUGAAAGGGGGCUUUUAGCUCUCGCUAUUAGAUGAGCCUAAGUCGGAUUAGCUGGUUGGUGGGGUAAAGGCCUACCAAGGCGACGAUCUGUAGCUGGUCUGAGAGGAUGAUCAGCCACACUGGGACUGAGACACGGCCCAGACUCCUACGGGAGGCAGCAGUGGGGAAUAUUGGACAAUGGGCGAAAGCCUGAUCCAGCCAUGCCGCGUGUGUGAAGAAGGCCUUUUGGUUGUAAAGCACUUUAAGUGGGGAGGAAAAGCUUAUGGUUAAUACCCAUAAGCCCUGACGUUACCCACAGAAUAAGCACCGGCUAACUCUGUGCCAGCAGCCGCGGUAAUACAGAGGGUGCAAGCGUUAAUCGGAAUUACUGGGCGUAAAGCGCGCGUAGGUGGUU
Molecule: ribosomal RNA, 586 nt
Filed under: Moraxella catarrhalis
Lineage: Bacteria; Pseudomonadati; Pseudomonadota; Gammaproteobacteria; Moraxellales; Moraxellaceae
Description: bacterial SSU rRNA
Rfam family: Bacterial small subunit ribosomal RNA
Source: RNAcentral